AGGGCAGCAGCUCAGUGGUAGAGCUCCCACUUCGUAUGCGGGAAGACCGGAGUUCGAUUCUCGGCUGCUUAC
This 72-nucleotide transfer RNA is filed under the name Toxocara canis (dog roundworm). It matches the Rfam family "tRNA". From Rfam's summary of the family: Transfer RNA (tRNA) molecules are approximately 80 nucleotides in length. Their secondary structure includes four short double-helical elements and three loops (D, anti-codon, and T loops). Further hydrogen bonds mediate the characteristic L-shaped molecular structure. tRNAs have two regions of fundamental functional importance: the anti-codon, which is responsible for specific mRNA codon recognition, and the 3' end, to which the tRNAs corresponding amino acid is attached (by aminoacyl-tRNA synthetases). tRNAs cope with the degeneracy of the genetic code in two manners: having more than one tRNA (with a specific anti-codon) for a particular amino acid; and 'wobble' base-pairing, i.e. permitting non-standard base-pairing at the 3rd anti-codon position. The record is from Rfam by way of RNAcentral. Lineage: Eukaryota; Metazoa; Nematoda; Chromadorea; Rhabditida; Toxocaridae.